UAGGGAAUCUUCGGCAAUGGACGGAAGUCUGACCGAGCAACGCCGCGUGAGUGAAGAAGGUUUUCGGAUCGUAAAGCUCUGUUGUUAGAGAAGAACGUUGGUAGGAGUGGAAAAUCUACCAAGUGACGGUAACUAACCAGAAAGGGACGGCUAACUACGUGCCAGCAGCCGCGGUAAUACGUAGGUCCCGAGCGUUGUCCGGAUUUAUUGGGCGUAAAGCGAGCGCAGGCGGUUCUUUAAGUCUGAAGUUAAAGGCAGUGGCUUAACCAUUGUACGGUUUGGAAACUGGAGGACUUGAGUGCAGAAGGGGAGGGGGGAAUUCCAUGUGUAGCGGUGAAAUGCGUAGAUAUAUGGAGGAACACCGGUGGCGAAAGCGGCUCUCUGGUCUGUAACUGACGCUGAGGCUCGAAAGCGUGGGGAGCAAACAGG
This 429-nucleotide ribosomal RNA is filed under the name Bacillota bacterium. RNAcentral describes it as "Firmicutes bacterium partial 16S ribosomal RNA". It matches the Rfam family "Bacterial small subunit ribosomal RNA", at positions 355 to 776 of the family's 1533-position model. Lineage: Bacteria; Bacillati; Bacillota. The record is from RNAcentral.